This is an RNA transcript of Sciurus carolinensis (gray squirrel), 4048 nucleotides long. It is a transcript of the gene named solute carrier family 5 member 6, with no coding region annotated. The transcript has 19 exons. The record is from RefSeq and is a predicted model, not a curated record. Lineage: Eukaryota; Metazoa; Chordata; Mammalia; Rodentia; Sciuridae.
GUACAUAUCUGCAGAAGAGAAAGAAACCUUAUUAGGGUUCUAGGAAGAAAAGCCAAGAAGAAAACAAACAAGGCUCAAGAAUUCACUGCCAGUACACCUCUCCAGAAUUCUAACGCAGGGAGGUGGCUCGUAUCAUAUCUUUUCAUCAGGCUGGACUAGGAGAUGCCAUUUCUUCCCCUAGAGCCAGAGUCUUCGCAUCCUGACAGCCUCAGUUUGGCCGAGCGUAAAAGGACUGCAGGUACACAAAGAACUCGUCAAGCAUUACAGAAAGUACAGUCCUAUCACCGCACCACGUACGGCAUUCGUGACUGGACAGCUUGCAAAAGAGUCAUAGGACUCAUCUGCACCAAGAACUUGAAAUUAUUCAAAGGCUGAGGAGCGAGGAGAUCGAAUUUCAAAGGUCCUUAAAUGUGGGCAGGGUGAGGGCGCCGGAGGCCUGGGCAACAACGGGAGCGAUGCUGAUUUCGCAAAGAAAGAAGGAACCUUCCUAGCCCUAGCUGAAGCACGGAGGUAAGCCCAUCCCAGACCUUCAAGGGUAAUUAUUGCCACACUGACUGGUGCAAGUCUAAUGGUAUGACGUGUCUCAGACCUGAGGAUGGGUAGCCAUGAAGGCAGAAUAGACUUGACUAGGAGUUGACUCCUUGCAGCUCACCCUGGACCAUGUCACUGGGUGGAAGAGGAGGACUGUGAUAACAGUGGCUGGGAGCCAGCUUGUAGCCACUUGCCUGCCCCGCCCAGCCUAGUGGCAGCCCAGAACCAAGGAGCAGCACCUGGCUACAGACCUCAGACACUGCAAGGAUGAGUGUAGGGGUGAGCACCUCAGUCCCCCUCCUCCCAACCUCGGACACAAGUGUGACCACCUCUACCUUCUCCUUCGUGGACUAUGUGGUAUUCGUUUUGCUGCUGCUUCUCUCCCUGGCCAUUGGUCUCUACCAUGCUUGUCGUGGCUGGGGCCGCCAUACUGUUGGACAGCUGCUGAUGGCAGAUCGCAAAAUGGGCUGCUUUCCUGUGGCGCUGUCCCUGCUAGCCACCUUCCAGUCAGCUGUAGCCAUCCUGGGUGUGCCGUCUGAGAUCUAUCGAUUUGGGACCCAGUACUGGUUCCUGGGUUGCUCCUACUUCUUGGGGCUGCUGAUACCUGCUCACAUCUUCAUCCCCAUCUUCUACCGCCUGCAUCUCACCAGUGCCUAUGAGUACCUGGAGCUCCGAUUCAAUAAAGCAGUGCGGGUUUGUGGAACUGUGACCUUCAUUUUUCAGAUGGUGAUCUACAUGGGGGUCGUGCUCUAUGCUCCAUCUUUGGCCCUCAAUGCAGUGACUGGCUUUGAUCUUUGGCUGUCUGUGCUGACCCUGGGGAUUGUCUGCAACAUCUAUACUGCAUUGGGUGGACUGAAGGCUGUCAUCUGGACAGAUGUGUUCCAGACACUGGUCAUGUUCCUAGGGCAGCUGGCUGUCAUCAUCGUGGGGUCGGUCAAAGUGGGAGGUUUGGGGCAUGUGUGGGAUGUGGCUUCCCAACACGGCCUCAUCUCUGGGAUUGAGCUGGAUCCAGACCCAUUUGUGCGGCACACCUUCUGGACCUUGGCCUUUGGGGGAGUCUUCAUGAUGCUCUCCUUAUAUGGUGUAAACCAGGCUCAGGUGCAGCGCUACCUCAGUUCCCGCACAGAGAAGGCUGCUGUGCUCUCCUGCUACGCAGUGUUCCCCUGCCAGCAGCUGGUCCUCUGCAUGAGCUGCCUCAUCGGCCUGGUUAUGUUCGCCUAUUACCAGGAGUAUCCCAUGAGCACCCAGCAGUCUCAGGCAGCUCCUGACCAAUUCGUCCUCUACUUUGUGAUAGACGUCCUAAAAGGUCUGCCGGGCCUGCCUGGGCUCUUUGUUGCCUGCCUCUUCAGUGGCUCCCUCAGCACCAUAUCCUCUGCUUUUAAUUCAUUGGCAACUGUUACGAUGGAAGACCUGAUUCAACCCUGGUUCCCUGAGUUUUGUGAAGCCCGGGCCAUCGUACUUUCCAGAAGUCUUGCCUUUGGCUAUGGAAUCCUUUGUCUUGGAAUGGCCUAUAUUUCCUCCCAGUUGGGAUCCGUGCUGCAGGCAGCAAUCAGCAUCUUUGGCAUGGUUGGGGGUCCACUGCUUGGACUUUUCUGCCUUGGGAUGUUCUUUCCUUUUGCCAACCCUCCUGGUGCCAUUGUGGGCCUGUUGGCUGGACUCAUCAUGGCCUUCUGGAUCGGAAUUGGGAGCAUAGUGACCAGCAUGAACUCUAGCACUGCGUCUUCUCCACUAAAUGGGUCCAUCUUCAGCCUGCCCACCAAUCUGACCACCACUACUGUGACCACCCUGAUGCCCUCAACCACCCUCUCCAAGCCCACAGGGCUGCAGCGAUUCUAUUCUCUGUCUUAUUUAUGGUACAGCGCUCACAACUCCACCACAGUCAUUGUGGUUGGCCUAACUGUCAGUCUGCUCACCGGGGGCAUGCGGGGCCGGCCCCUGAACCCUCGGACCAUUUACCCUGUGCUGCCAAGACUUCUGUCCCUCCUGCCCUUGUCCUGCCAGAAGCGGCUUUGUUGCAGAAGCCACAGCCAGGAUGUCCCCAUGGACAAUGACCUGUUUCCGGAGAAGAAGAUGAAUGGGGUGCUGUGGGACAGCAGAGACAAGGAGGAGCUGGCUCGGGAUGGCUCAGCCCACCAGGGGAGCAGCCCCACUUUUGUUCUCCAAGAGACCUCCCUGUGAUGGGGACUCACAGGCCACCAGCCUCUGUCCUCACUGCCAGUCAGCAGCCAGAGGACACUGUAGUACAGAGAUGGGUCUGGGUGACCUUGUCCACACCAAAGUAUCUUGUUCUUAAAGGAUCUCACCUGCCAUGGAAAUUGUCCCAUCCCAGUGUCCUGGCUGAGCUGUCUCUGGAGCAAGGUCUUCUCAUGCUGAGCCACAAGCUAUGUGAAAAUAUGUAUGCAAAGCAGAAAUGGGAGAUUUCUAACUCAAGCCACAGGAAAGAGCAAAGGUCGCAUGUACCAAGAACUCGUGAGUAAGAUUAUCUGUGGAUUCUUGAGACCUGACCUCUGAAGCCCUCAUUUCUUGGCCAGGCCAGGAGUUAUAAGUCAAGAGCAGGACACAUUCCCCCACGCCCCAAUUCCAGGGCUUAGUAUAAAGAAAAAUGCAUUGUUGGCCAUGUUUUCAAGAAAUGGGGCUGGGAAGCAACACCACUGUCAGUCUCUUGAAGUCAGAACCCUGAGCCGUCUCUUGCCUCAUCUCAAUCCCCAAGCACUUCUGCCCACUCCCUCCAAACCCAAAUGUUCUAAGGAUUGUUCAUUUUUUCAGCAGGGCAGUUCUAGAAAACACCAGAUGGACUCAGACCCCUAGGUCUGCCCUCCUCUCCAGUAACCCCUCCCACUGGGGGCUGAGGGUGCUGCUCCCUGACUCACCACCCCUCCCCACCAAUCUGCCAGUAUUCUAGACCUAACUGAUCCUCCUUUUUCACUUUUCAAUAUAUUCAUCAGUCAUUUUCUACAAGCAAGGGAACAUGGUAGCCAUUUUACAUCCAAGGACACUGCUACAUCACUCAAGGACCCCAAACCAGAUGCUGCUAUUGGCAUCUCAGAGUUGCCCCAUUUAACCUCAAAGUCUUGCAUUUGGCUAUGUUUGCACAGAAGAGGAAAUAGCCCCCCAAACUUCCAAGAACUAUAAUUUUGGGGAUGAAAAGGCAAAAGAUCCAGUUCUCCAUACAAAUAAUUCAAAACCUUCAACAGAGAACAAAUAUGCUCCUUUCCUUCUAAUACAAUAAACUUCUUUUCUUCACAAAGCAUUUUACAAGUGCCAGUUAAUACUUUUGAGGGUGGAGUGUAACAGACCUGGGAUCAAAUACUGGUUUAGCCAGGUGUGGUGUUACAGGCCUAUAAUCCCAGCCACUCAGGAGGCUGAGGCAGGAGGAUUGAAAGUUUGAGACCAGCCUGGACAACUUAGUGAGACCCUGUCUCAAAAUAUAAAGGACUUUGGGGUAUAACUCAGUGGUAGAGUGUUUUGCUUAGCCAUGUGCAAGGUCAUGCUAGUACUGCAUUAAAAAAAAAAAGUU